UGCCAGUACUGCCUGCACGUGGGCCACCUUGGUCUGGGGUUCAGUGUCUUUAUGGCCACCAUAGCUGCCCUAAGAAAGGAAUAUAGGCACGCACAGAACCUCUAGCCAGUGACAAGUGGCCGGGCAGCUCUUUGAAAGAAAAAACUGAAAAAAAUCCUUUGUUUAUUCUUUAGUUUAUUUUUUUCUUUGUUCUUUUUAGAUAUAUACAUAUGACAAUAGAGUGUAUUGUCAUAUCAUACAUACAUGGAGUAUAACUAUUUGACAUAUUAUACAUACAUGGAGUAUAACUAUUCUAAUUAGAUCCCAUUCUUGUGGUGUACGUGAUGUGGUUUCACUGGUUGUGUAUUCAUAUAUGAAUAUAGGAAAGUUAUGUCUGAGUCAUCCUACUGUCUUUCCAAAUCCCAUUCCUCCUCCCUCCCUUCAUCCCCCUUUGUCUAAUUCAAUGAACUUCUACUCCCUCCACCCCUUAUUAUGUGUUAGCAUCCACAUAUUAGACAUAAUAUUCAGCCUUUGGUUUUUGGGGACUGGCUUAUUUCACUUAGCAUAAUAGUCUCUAGUUCCAUCCAUUUAGCAGAAAAUGCCAUAAUUUCAUUUUUCUUUAAGGCUGAAUAAUAUUCCACUGCGUAUACAUAUCACAUUUUCUUUAUCCAUUCAUCUGUUUAAGGGCAUCUUGGUUGGUUCCAUAGCUUAGCUAUUGUGAAUUGAGCUGCUAUAAACAUUGAUAUGGCUGUGUCAC
Molecule: long non-coding RNA, 736 nt
Filed under: Marmota monax (woodchuck)
Lineage: Eukaryota; Metazoa; Chordata; Mammalia; Rodentia; Sciuridae
Source: RNAcentral